Molecule: non-coding RNA, 3688 nt
Organism: Equus caballus (horse)
Lineage: Eukaryota; Metazoa; Chordata; Mammalia; Perissodactyla; Equidae
Source: RefSeq, a predicted model, not a curated record
CCUAGGAAAGAGAGGGAGCCUGGGGCCCGCAGAAGCUUCCCAGGCUGACAGGCUUCUCUGGGCUCACAGGCAGAGCAGCGGGGAGACAUGGAAGUCAGCGCACUGCCAGCCCCUGCCUGGUGCCGCUCAACAGGAGCCUCCCCUUCGCCUGGAGCCAGGCUGGCCCAUCCGGGCAUUUCCCCAUGCCCCCGCCCUAUCGCUCCUCUGUGGGCACCUUGGGAGCCUCGUCCACACUCCAAAACAAGUUAAAAUCAGACCUCCUUCCCCUCAGUGGCCUUAGAGACACAAAGUGGGCCUGAGUGGGAGGAAAACAGCCCUGCCCUCAGGAGUCCCGGGUCUGAAGGGGGAGACAAGCCCUCCCUCCAGUCUGAUGGGGGAAACAGGAAACCCACAUGCAGAGGCCUGCAGUGGCAGAGUGCCCGGGUGAAGGCCAAGGGGAAACAGCUGUACAAGAGGCGAUCGCUCAGGUGGGGCUUUCCAGGGAGACGGCCAGGGGGAAAGGCUUCACAGGGCAUUGGCUUGCGGGGCGCAGGAACACACACGAUCAGCAUAAGAAGCCCAUUCAGGGAGGCAGAAUGCCAGGUGGGCUGUGCCUCUGUGUGGGUGGGGGUGGGUGUGUGAGCACGUGUGCAAGUGCGUGCCCACAUGCAUGCACAGCGCCAUUCUCUUCUGUGCUGGAGUGUUUAUCUUCAGACACAAACCAAUGGAAACAGCCCGGAAACCCUGCAGCAAACACAGUGCCUGCAGUCUGCACCUUGUGGGGCCGAGCAAACAGCCCUCAGGCUCAGGCUGGGCCUUCCGGUUUCCCGGUCCUGGAGGCACAGCCUUGACACUGCACCAACAGUGCUCCUGCCCUACGCUGGUCCCCUUGGAGGGCACAGGCCCCAAAGUGGGCCUGGCAGAAAAGGGAAGGAGCAGAGGGAGAGGGGUGUGUUUUUGAGAGGCCCCAGCGAAGAUUCUGCUACAGAAGUUACAAAGGAGAAGAAAGAAAGGAAAAAUGAGCAGUGACCAUGGGGCGGCAGGGUGGAGGUUUGUGCGGGAGUCAGGGUUCCGGCCCGGCCCUGCCUCUUGCUAGGCCCGAUCAGGGCCCCAACUGAGCCGGUGUCACCCUGCUGCUCAGUGGGCCUGGGUGGUCUCAAAGGCCCCUUUCACGCUGCACAUGCGGCAUCACUGAGGCCCAGCAGUAGCUGGGCAGGGGGUAGUGCCUGAGCCCAGGCUGCCUGCCUCUGGACAGCUGAUGAGUUGGCCUGGUGCAACAAGAGGCUCUUAAGUCAGGGUGGCAAGCUGUGCGGUGCCUCCAUCCCGCAGCCAGGCCAGCACUCCCCACCCCAGCCCACCCUGCGCCCAAGCCAGGAGGCCAGGGCUGGUCCUGUGUUCAUAACAGUCCUUCCCAAGCUAGAGGGGGGAGAGCAGAACCCACCACCCUCUGGCUGCAGCCUGGGCUAAUGUAGGGGAACUCCUCUUGGGUUGCAGAGUGCCAGAGGAGGUUUCCAGAAGGGAUCCGAGUCAGUGCUGACGUGGCAGGGGAGGAUGAGAGCCAGGGGUACAGAGGGGCCUCAGUGAGGGGCCCAGUCACGGUGAGGUGGUCUCUCUGCUCUGCUCCCACCAAGGCAGCCUUGGCAGGCAGGGUCAUCUCGCGUCUAUCCCCCGGCUCACAGGAGCCCACCUCAUAGCAGGCACAGGGGACUCCCACCAGAGACUGAGGGUCCCAGAGAGGAGCGUGACACGGCCUGCAGUGCUCCCAGCUCUGCUUCAUCUGACCUGGGAGGAAAAGAGCUGGUUUCCCAUGGAGCCUCAGACGGCCUGAAGGCUGGCCCUGAUGUCAUUGUGCUAAACCUGCUCAGGCACUGCUCUGCCUGCCUUACAGUCUCGACCACAGGAAGUCACGACUGAAGAACCUUCCGGAUGAUCGCUCACCACCCUCUUAGUGUGCAGAUGAAUCCCUGGGGGUCAGUUCUCCCCUCUGCUUGCCUUCCUGAGGGCACACCUCAGCCCCAGCACCUUGCUCAGAAUCAGAAGACUCUGCACUGGGAGCUCAUAUGGACAGAUCCUAGCUGGACGCUCCAGAGGCCCACAGCUUCCUCCCCAGGAGUAGCAGCUCAGGAAUACGCAGCCCAGCCCCCGAGGAGUGAGUAACCCUGAGAGAAGCACAAAGCAAAGGAGGAAGAGAUGGCCCAGCUGGAGGGGAUCUCUGCUGCCUUCACAAAACCUGGCACGCCAACCUGCCAUUUAGAAUUACCCUCAUCCCCUUCCUGUUCUUUGCACUACACAUGUUCCUAAGAAGUUCCAGGUAAGGGAGCUUCUGCAAGUCACAGCACUUAAAAAAAAAACAAACAGAAAACACCCUGAUAGGCUUCUAAUUGAACCACUAGGCAGAAUCAGAAGGGACCUUGAGCUGCUUCGUAAGAUGUCCUGCGUCUCACAUGCAUCCAGUCCUGUACAAAACCCACAGAAACACCAGCAUACACAAGGAGACUUGCUUCUUAAGGGAAUUUUUCAGUGUACAAGAGGAUUUUGGCCAUGGGGAUAAUCACUCCCUAACGGAUGACGUUUUGUCAGUUGGGUGGCUGUGUCUCUGUGACACCUGUACUCCUCUCUCAUCUCUGGAAGUGACAUGGACAGGAAAACCCACCCUCAUGGACACCUCUAGGAGUGAGUCAAAGGGCAAGAGCCCUAGGCCCAGAUGGCCCCCUGAGGUUUCCCGGGGAUAGCCCAAGCGUUCCCAGGCCAUCUGCUUGCUUGCGUCCAUGCAAUCCAGGAAACCCCCCAGCCAGGAGCUGGGGCUAGGGAAGUCUCUCGCAGCCUAUGGCUUGCAAAUCUUCUCUGCUCUGCUUUGGGUCUGUUUUCCCAGCUGCACUAGGAAAAUGAAUAUUGCUGGCUUUCCAAAGGACUCCAAGGACGUGGCCCUGUUCAGUUCGAGCAAGAGAAUCAGGCUCUGCAAUGGUAUCCAAAACGGUAUCUCUGGGGCAUGGCAGGCAAAGUCCAGAGCCCGGCCCUUGGGCAGAGGCCAGGGAGGAGUAACAUGGUGGGGAGUGGAGGGGGACCCCUGCACCAAGGAUGGAAGCGCCCUUACCAAGCUUUGGGUGAAACACCUGUGCCUGCCCCCAUGGCCCUAGCGGGGGAGGUCCUGUAUGUCUGCCUCCAGGGACCAAUACAGGAACCCUGGCCCCCUCAGGAGCAGGACCACGCAGGACCCUCCAGCCCCGUGGCCACCGGGAAAGGGAAGGGACAGCCUGUGUCGGCUGGGCUGGAGCUGACAAUUAAGUGGAGCGCGCCCCAGGGCGCUCGUCAAGCCGCAGCAAGCUCUGGCACCUAGAGUGGCCCCUGAGGCUACACUCCCACUUUCCUGCCCCCACCCCCUUCCAACUCCGCUCCGGCAGCAGGGGCUACGGACACACCUUGGACCUCCCACCUGGGCAGACUCCACCACUCCGCUCCCCAGGGGUGUGGGUGGGGGGAACAGGCGUGAGACACGGUGUACCCCUCACAGGGGUGAGCGAAGGCAAGUAAAUAAUCCAGAAGUCACCUUGAGUCCCUGGAGAGAGUUUUCCGGGGAGAGCUGGGGUGGGGGAGGAGGCAGCCCUUCGGCUCAGGCGGCGCGGCUGGCGGAGCCGGGAGGGGUGGUCGCCGCUGCCAGGAGGCGGGGGCAGCGCCGAGGGCGGCGGGAAGGGAAGGGAAGGGAAGGGAG